UUAAUUGAAACCAAAAAGAGGUGUGUCACUGUUAAUGAUAUUAUUGAAUGCUUAUAUUCCAAUUAAA
Molecule: transfer RNA, 67 nt
Filed under: Helophorus sp. BMNH 724835
Lineage: Eukaryota; Metazoa; Arthropoda; Insecta; Coleoptera; Helophoridae
Description: tRNA-Asn
Source: RNAcentral